AGGGUUUGAUCAUGGCUCAGAACGUACGCUGGCGGCACGCCUAACACAUGCAAGUCGAACGAAGUAGCAAUACUUAGUGGCAGACGGGUGAGUAACAUGUAGGUAUCUACCCUUUGGCCUGGAAUAACACGAGGAAACUUGUGCUAAUACCGGAUAAGUCUUUACGGAGAAAGCUUUAUGCACCAUUGGAUGAGCCUGCACUUGAUUAGUUUGUUGGUAGGGUAAUGGCCUACCAAGACUUUGAUCAAUAGCUGAUUUGAGAGGAUGAUCAGCCACAUUGGGACUGAGACACGGCCCAAACUCCUACGGGAGGCAGCAGUGGGGAAUCUUGCACAAUGGAGGAAACUCUGAUGCAGCGAUGCCGCGUGAGUGAAGAAGGCCUUUGGGUUGUAAAGCUCUUUCGUCGGGGAAGAAAAUGACUGUACCCGAAUAAGAAGGUCCGGCUAACUUCGUGCCAGCAGCCGCGGUAAUACGAAGGGACCUAGCGUAGUUCGGAAUUACUGGGCUUAAAGAGUUCGUAGGUGGUUGAAAAAGUUGGUGGUGAAAUCCCAGAGCUUAACUCUGGAACUGCCAUCAAAACUUUUCAGCUAGAGUUUGAUAGAGGAAAGCAGAAUUUCUAGUGUAGAGGUGAAAUUCGUAGAUAUUAGAAAGAAUACCAAUUGCGAAGGCAGCUUUCUGGAUCAUUACUGACACUGAGGAACGAAAGCAUGGGUAGCGAAGAGGAUUAGAUACCCUCGUAGUCCAUGCCGUAAACGAUGUGUGUUAGACGUUGGAAAUUUAUUUUUCAGUGUCGCAGCGAAAGCGAUAAACACACCGCCUGGGGAGUACGACCGCAAGGUUAAAACUCAAAUGAAUUGACGGGGACCCGCACAAGUAGUGGAGCAUGUGGUUUAAUUCGAAGAUACGCGCAGAACCUUACCAACACUUGACAUGUUCGUCGCGACUUUAAGAGAUUAAAGUUUUCGGUUCGGCCGGACGAAACACAGGUGCUGCAUGGCUGUCGUCAGCUCGUGUCGUGAGAUGUUGGGUUAAGUCCCGCAACGAGCGCAACCCUCACUUUUAGUUGCCAUCAUUAAGUUGGGCACUCUGAAAGAACUGCCAGUGAUAAGCUGGAGGAAGGUGGGGAUGACGUCAAGUCCUCAUGGCCCUUACGUGUUGGGCUACACACGUGCUACAAUGGUAUUUACAAAAGGAAGCAAAACGGCGACGUUUAGCAAAUCCUAAAAAAAUACCUCAGUUCGGAUUGCACUCUGCAACUCGAGUGCAUGAAGCUGGAAUUACUAGUAAUCGUGGAUCAGCGUGCCACGGUGAAUGCGUUCCCGGGUCUUGUACACACCGCCCGUCACACCAUGGGAGUUGGUUCUACCUUAAGGCAAGGUUUAAAACCCUUGACCACGGUAUAGUCAGCGACUGGGGUGAAGUCAUAACAAGGUAACCGUA
Molecule: ribosomal RNA, 1440 nt
Filed under: uncultured bacterium
Lineage: Bacteria
Description: bacterial SSU rRNA
Rfam family: Bacterial small subunit ribosomal RNA
Source: RNAcentral